GGUCCCUAUUACCCCGGGGGCUCCAGGUGAAGAGUCAACCUGGACUGAGUCCUAGGAGGUGCAGCUGGAGAUAAUUGUGUUUGAUGAUGUAAUUUGUUGCAUGACCUUGGACUGCCUUAACGUCUUAAGUGUUAGAGGAGACCUAGGAUGUGGGAGAGGAUACAGACGGGGUGGUUUUUGAGAUGAGAACUAGCAAGGUCCCUCGAGUGAAGACUGGCGUGUUGGCCCUCUGCCUGGAAGAGCAGAGACUUGGAUCCUGAGGCUUUGCUGCAGGAAGCUUGAACACAGGUGGUGUCUUUGGUGGCUGUUCACCCUUCCACAGUAAACACGCUUGGGAAGCAACUUUGCCAAAAGCCUUCGGACAGUACAGCGUCAACACUGCAAGCCAAGGGGUAAGGCCCGCAGGGUCAGAACCGUCGCACCC
RNAcentral lists this long non-coding RNA (424 nucleotides) under Macaca mulatta (Rhesus monkey). RNAcentral describes it as "lncRNA (ENSMMUG00000060880.1)". The record is from RNAcentral. Lineage: Eukaryota; Metazoa; Chordata; Mammalia; Primates; Cercopithecidae.